Columba livia (rock pigeon) is the source of this 3040-nucleotide long non-coding RNA. RefSeq lists it as uncharacterized. Lineage: Eukaryota; Metazoa; Chordata; Aves; Columbiformes; Columbidae. The transcript is spliced from 3 exons. The record is from RefSeq and is a predicted model, not a curated record.
CUCAGGCACCAGCGCGCUUUCAAAUCCACCCCGUGCCGCCCAUGGGACGCUCCACGCAAGGUCGGCGGCGCAGCCCCAACCUCGGAUUGGGUCGAUCGGCAACCAACCGGGAGUUGCUCCAGCGGAAGGCAUCUGAGGCUAGCUCUUGGGAAAGAUGAUAUUGGACAAAUCCAUGAUUAGAGCCUUUGUGAUGUUAACCAUCCCUACUGCGCUGGAAUCGAUUACACACAUUUGGUGAAAGGCAAUUUGAAUGCAGGAUGCACAGCAUGUCCCCACCAUUGUUCAGCAUAGUUUAAAAUGGCAUUAAGACAGAAAGGUUGGUAUAAACAUGCAGAAAAUGUUCCCAGUGAAAUGUCCAGGCUUCUCCACUGCACACACAGCAACAGCUUUCUCACAUCCCCAAAGAAAAUAGAGAAAUUAGCAGCAUUUUACUAAUUGUUGCAAACAGGUUGAAGCCCAGUCCUGCGAGUGGGUGAGCACUCGUACUGUACCAGUGAAGUCUGAGCAGCCAUGUCUUAGAUUUGACCGUUUUGCCAAAGAAACUCUGUUUCCUGCUAUGUAGAAUAUUUGGGGUUGAAAAUUAACCUGAAGAUUAGAACUGGGACAAAACAGAACCCAGACUUCAACUGCAAAGCUAUGUCAGAUUUAUCUUUUUAAACAUUAGAUUAAAUUUCAGGGUGCAAACAUGGUGAAGUAUGAACUCUUUACAAAGAGCAGCAUCAUAAGAGGACUGAAAUCUAAGCAGAUUUUCACCAACUGUUUCAAGCUCCAUGGUUUUCUUUCUCUUUUGGGGCUUUGGGGGUUUUGCUAGUACAUAGCAACACAACUGGCUUCUUGUACUGAUGUUUAUGUCACUCAGAUAUCAAACAUCAGGAUUGUUCAGUUUCACUUGGAACAAGAUUGGCUGGCCUGCCUGACAGCACUCACGCAUAGCUACCCAGAGCCAUGGUGGUAACAGCUCUGAGAUCUUCUGGUGAUCGUGAGGCUGAAUGCUGGGAAAAACAUCUGUAAUGGACAGCUCGGCCCUGAUUUGAGGUGUGUAGCCAGAGUCUGCAGUGGCAAAGUGGUGGUCCAGAAGCCUUAUCAACCAUUUCUCAAUAUCUGUAAAGCCUAUCAGCAUGGCAGAAUGCAGUUCCGAGGCAAGAAAUGUGAGCUGCUGAACUGACUUAAGGACCAGCAGUAUUGCUACGUUAGCACAGAGCUCUGCUCAGUUUUAUAAAACCCAUGUUUCUUGUGGAGUCAAUGUUUGGCCAGUUGAGCUACCUGCCACAGCUUAAAAUCCACCUGAAGAAGUGCCAGUGCAGGUACAGAAAUAUCGGGUGGUAGGAUGCAGCAGGACAGAGGGGAAGGCAGGGCUGCAAACUAUCAUCUCAUCACCUUGGGCUCACUAGCCUGAAACUGUGCUCCUUGGAGCUGAAGACCUCAUUUCCAACCGCAUUGUGCAGAUAUCCUGUCAGUCCCUUACGUCGGCUCACGCUCCCGCUGCAGCCAGUGAUAAAACUGCUGUGGAAUUAAGGCUGGGCAGUACCGUCCCAACAGCUGGGAGCAGAAGCGUUAUGAAAUCUCCAAAACACCUCAGAGAAGUGGUACCUUCAGAAAUUGUAACCCUGCAGGAGCUAAAAGUGCUGAGAUCUCACAGAUCUCACAUGUCAGAGAUCUAUAGAGCUAAGCUGAAGGGACCCUCUGGUUUGUCUUAUACAACACAGGGUGGAGUUUCUCCAGUUAUCCUGGUUUUAUUCUAUAUAUCAAGUGGUUAACACACAAAACGAGAGGAGAAUUGUAAGCAACGUACUUUCUCUGUGACGCCCAGCAAAGGCCAGAUUUUCACAGUAAGCAGGGCUCUAUAUUUAGUAUCUUUUACAGGCGUAUUAAAAAAGGUCUGAACAAUUGUUGUCCAUCCAAUGAACCUACAUUUUAGAAAUGCUUUCUAGGCUUGGGAAGGUUUGAUGCAUCUGCUGUGUGGACUAGAGGGUGCGCAAUGUAAUUUCUUCCCCGCCUCUGUAUCAGGCAGCAUUCCCUAACGUCCCUUCUUUCCAGUAAAUAAACCCAUGCAUAAAUAAGACCCUAAAAAUAAUUUCUCUUUGAUAAAUAUUUUAGUGAAUAUUCCUGCUUGCACAGGGUUCUCUUUGGUUCCCCCGAAGCCAGAUCUGGCCCACAUACAGUGAAAAUGAGGCAUCAAGCAUCAAGUAAAAGGAAAGGGACUUUUUCUUCCUUUGUCUCCCAGCAAUGUUAACUUAGACAGCCACCAGCACAUGAUUAUUUACAUAAGGAGGGAACUGCAGAGCUGCUGCCAACUGCCCAUAGUGCCUGCCAAAAACAGAUGUUAGAUGUUACUGUUAGAAUAACGUCUUCUUCAGCUUGACAUGUGAGUGCUGCAAUCUUUAUUUAAAAGGAAGAGGAAAAAAUAUGGUUGAAUUAAUGAAAUGAAGCACACAACAUACGGUCUGAAAAAAUUAUAAUGUAAGGGAAAGUGCUAGUUGUCCAAUUGCCUAAGACUGCAAAAACUCAGCUGGGUGGAUUUGUCACAGAGAACUGUCCUGGUCUGUCAUGUAGAUGGAUCUGGUGACCUAAUAAGUCUGUUGAAUUGGUACAUUUUUACUCCCGUGCCUUCCAUGAGGCUCUAUAUUGACUGGGAUGCUGAUAAAUCCAGCGCUCUUUGUUAACAAAAAUCCACACAUGAAGUACCAGGCAGCCUUAUCACAAAAACUAUGAUUUAUGCUUGGGAUUUGCUAUGAUUUUGCAUUAAUCUGGGGGGUUCUAUAAAAACACUGUUCAGAUAAAGCUUUUGUAUUUUAUCUGCAAGGUAUUUUAUUCAUGUGUUUUAUAGGAAAAGAAGGAACCUGUCUGCAAAGGUGAACAAUGUUAUAAUUUAUUAUUUUGUUUGCCUGUCUUCCUGUGAGAAGGGACCUAAACCUCAUUGUCUACAGAGCUGAAAAGCUCACGUAUAUUGCAAUCAACCUUAUACAGUCAGCCUCUAUGAAGACUUGCAUUGUUGCUGGUACUGUGGGGUCAGUAGAACAAAUAAACUCUCAUUUUUGCA